Molecule: long non-coding RNA, 223 nt
Filed under: Gossypium barbadense (sea-island cotton)
Lineage: Eukaryota; Viridiplantae; Streptophyta; Magnoliopsida; Malvales; Malvaceae
Description: long non-coding RNA (GBAR_LNC002008)
Source: RNAcentral
UUUAUAUUCUGUAAUUACCAGCUUUGGCUCAUUGUGGGCUGCCUUAUCCUUACAUUUGCUUACCACUGUUUCUGGCCUUGGUUCUGCAACUAGCCCUUCCUCAUCUUGAAUGACAGUCGCAUUGAGUUGCUUCCUUGGGUUAAAUUUAGUGUUGCUUGGUAGGCUAUGUUUUGGUCGUUCGGAAAUCAACUUGACGAGCUGUCCAAUUUGAGUUUCAAACCCC